UUGACCUCAGAUCAGGUAGGAAUACCCGCUGAACUUAAGCAUAUCAAUAAG
RNAcentral lists this ribosomal RNA (51 nucleotides) under Clonostachys sp. jzk8. RNAcentral's name for it is "partial 28S ribosomal RNA". Lineage: Eukaryota; Fungi; Ascomycota; Sordariomycetes; Hypocreales; Bionectriaceae. The record is from RNAcentral.